AGUGAACGCUGGCGGUAGGCCUAACACAUGCAAGUCGAACGGCAGCACAGUAAGAGCUUGCUCUUACGGGUGGCGAGUGGCGGACGGGUGAGGAAUACAUCGGAAUCUACUUUUUCGUGGGGGAUAACGUAGGGAAACUUACGCUAAUACCGCAUACGACCUACGUGUGAAAGCAGGGGAUCUUCGGACCUUGCGCGAUUGAAUGAGCCGAUGUCGGAUUAGCUAGUUGGCGGGGUAAAGGCCCACCAAGGCGACGAUCCGUAGCUGGUCUGAGAGGAUGAUCAGCCACACUGGAACUGAGACACGGUCCAGACUCCUACGGGAGGCAGCAGUGGGGAAUAUUGGACAAUGGGCGCAAGCCUGAUCCAGCCAUACCGCGUGGGGGAAGAAGGCCUUCGGGUUGUAAAGCCCUUUUGUUGGGAAAGAAAAGCAGCAGGUUAAUACCCCGCUGUUCUGACGGUACCCAAAGAAUAAGCACCGGCUAACUUCGUG
This 492-nucleotide ribosomal RNA is filed under the name uncultured bacterium. RNAcentral describes it as "partial 16S ribosomal RNA". It matches the Rfam family "Bacterial small subunit ribosomal RNA", at positions 29 to 507 of the family's 1533-position model. The record is from RNAcentral.